CGUGUAGGCGGCUUGGCAAGUCCGCUGUGAAAACUCGAGGCUCAACCUCGAGACGUCGGUGGAAACUGCCUGGCUAGAGUCCGGAAGAGGAGAGUGGAAUUCCUGGUGUAGCGGUGAAAUGCGCAGAUAUCAGGAAGAACACCUAUGGCGAAGGCAGCUCUCUGGGACGGUACUGACGCUGAGACGCGAAAGCGUGGGGAGCGAACA
RNAcentral lists this ribosomal RNA (207 nucleotides) under uncultured bacterium. RNAcentral describes it as "partial 16S ribosomal RNA". It matches the Rfam family "Bacterial small subunit ribosomal RNA", at positions 568 to 774 of the family's 1533-position model. The record is from RNAcentral.